GAUGAACGCUGGCGGCGUGCCUAAUACAUGCAAGUCGAGCGAAUGGAUUAAGAGCUUGCUCUUAUGAAGUUAGCGGCGGACGGGUGAGUAACACGUGGGUAACCUGCCCAUAAGACUGGGAUAACUCCGGGAAACCGGGGCUAAUACCGGAUAACAUUUUGAACCGCAUGGUUCGAAAUUGAAAGGCGGCUUCGGCUGUCACUUAUGGAUGGACCCGCGUCGCAUUAGCUAGUUGGUGAGGUAACGGCUCACCAAGGCAACGAUGCGUAGCCGACCUGAGAAGGUGAUCGGCCACACUGGGACUGAGACACGGCCCAGACUCCUACGGGAGGCAGCAGUAGGGAAUCUUCCGCAAUGGACGAAAAUCUGACGGAGCAACGCCGCGUGAGUGAUGAAGGCUUUCGGGUCGUAAAACUCUGUUGUUAGGGAAGAGCAAGUGCUAGUUGAAUAAGCUGGCACCUUGACGGUACCUAACCAGAAAGCCACGGCUAACUACGUGCCAGCCGCCGCAGUAA
RNAcentral lists this ribosomal RNA (515 nucleotides) under uncultured bacterium. RNAcentral's name for it is "partial 16S ribosomal RNA". It matches the Rfam family "Bacterial small subunit ribosomal RNA", at positions 28 to 523 of the family's 1533-position model. The record is from RNAcentral.